GAUGAACGCUGGCGGCGUGCCUAAUACAUGCAAGUCGAGCGAACAGACGAGGAGCUUGCUCCUCUGACGUUAGCGGCGGACGGGUGAGUAACACGUGGAAAACCUACCUAUAAGACUGGGAUAACUUCGGGAAACCGGAGCUAAUACCGGAUAAUAUAUUGAACCGCAUGGUUCAAUAGUGAAAGACGGUUUUGCUGUCACUUAUAGAUGGAUCCGCGCCGCAUUAGCUAGUUGGUAAGGUAACGGCUUACCAAGGCAACGAUGCGUAGCCGACCUGAGAGGGUGAUCGGCCACACUGGAACUGAGACACGGUCCAGACUCCUACGGGAGGCAGCAGUAGGGAAUCUUCCGCAAUGGGCGAAAGCUUGACGGAGCAACGCCGCGUGAGUGAUGAAGGUCUUCGGAUCGUAAAACUCUGUUAUUAGGGAAGAACAAAUGUGUAAGUAACUAUGCACGUCUUGACGGUACCUAAUCAGAAAGCCACGGCUAACUACGUG
This 497-nucleotide ribosomal RNA is filed under the name uncultured bacterium. RNAcentral's name for it is "partial 16S ribosomal RNA". It matches the Rfam family "Bacterial small subunit ribosomal RNA", at positions 28 to 507 of the family's 1533-position model. The record is from RNAcentral.